Molecule: long non-coding RNA, 757 nt
Organism: Gasterosteus aculeatus aculeatus (three-spined stickleback)
Lineage: Eukaryota; Metazoa; Chordata; Actinopteri; Perciformes; Gasterosteidae
Source: Ensembl
CUGAAGAGGUGUGUCUUUAGUCUGAAGAUGUGAAGGUUCUCUGUGGUCCUGAUGUCUUCAGAGACCUCCUUCCACCAUUUAGGAGCAGGACAGCAAAGAGUGGAGAUCUAGUCGAGUGUUUUGCUCUCAGCGAGGAGGAACAAGCAGUUUAUCACAUGCAGAGCGGAGAGUGCGGGUCGGGAUGUCUGGUUGGACCAGGUCCUGGAUGUAAGCUGGACCCCAUCCAUUCACAGCACGUAGUUUCAGACUUUUAUGUUUUUGAAGAAUCGGCGCCAACGCAGCUCAACUUCUACUUGCUGCUGCACUGACUCGAACCCUCUUAACUCAACGAAACUCGACCUUCAGUUCAGACAGAAAGCUGCGACUUCCUCGACCGGCCGUCUGAUGUGUCGGAAUCCAUUCCAGUUCACCUUCUGGGGAGACGGUUCCCCCGCUGGGAAACGUCUGACGCGAUAGCAAACAGUUAAAAAAACAUGUCACAGUUCAUUCUGGGAGGAAAUGUCCAACUCUGCUGAGGCCCACUGAGCGCAGCUGGAGUCCGUCCCAAAGUUUGACUUAAUCCCUGUAAAGACAUCCGGCUGCGUGUGUUUGGAAUGAACUGAGACAGAACAGCUGAACGGUGAAGUUAUCAAAUCGAGCCAACAGGUCAAAUCCCAAAAGGAUGAGCAACCAAUGGGAGGCGAUCACGUGACCCGGGGGACGUCCCGCCAGGCGAAACACGCUGAGUUGUGUGGUUGAAUUAUUGUUUUUUGUGCGG